UUGUUGUUGCUGUUGAAGCUCUCAUAAUUCAGGUCUUUUAUCUCUGAUGCGGAGACUGAAGCAAGAAGUGGUGGCUCUUCACUCGCCUUGUCAUCGGAUUCGGCCAAGAUUAUUUCUUCUUUGACAGAAACAUUGCUAUCUGCGUUCUCUUCGUUUAGCUUCGCCUUCAUUUCUUUUAUCUCUUUGAGUAGAGCUUCAUUGUCAUGUUGGAGGGACUCAAAAUU
This 224-nucleotide unclassified non-coding RNA is filed under the name Hevea brasiliensis (rubber tree). Lineage: Eukaryota; Viridiplantae; Streptophyta; Magnoliopsida; Malpighiales; Euphorbiaceae. The record is from RNAcentral.